UUUUUUGCCAGAUCCAAUCGGUUCUCCUGUCCCACGACUAUAGCGAUCAGGGCCGGGAGAUUGGGGGUGGCCGGCUGGCCACCCCGCCGGUUCGAGCUCGGAUCUCCCCCUAAUUGCAGCGACCGGCGACGGCGACCGGCCCCGCGAGCACUCCGCUCUAUCCCCCCUGAUUGCAGCGACCGGCAACGACGGAUUGAAGGAGGCCGCCCCACCAGCGGAUCUCGGAUCCACCGCAUCAACCCGCCCGCAAGCCCUUCCCCACCGAUUACAGCGACCGGCGACAACUCUCGGAUCACCAGGAUACAGCGAAGGGAUUUGGGGGAGAAAAGCACUGAGGUGACAUAGACGAAAGAGAGAAAGUGAGAUCCAGAGUUAUAUUGGAGAGGAAUUCAGAGUUUCAAUUUUACAAGUCAUACCCAGACAUGGCACCUGAAGGUUCUACCAUGCCAAAAACAAAAAAGCGUGUCAGAUCUACAAACAGUGCAUCAGCUACCUCAAGAAUAACUGGAUCCCAAGCUACCACAACAACUGAGUCGGUUGAACCUACAAACCAUCAAGAAUAGUCUGCACCAAAUCCAACAAACACAUCACCUCACCUAACUUCUAAGGAUAGCAACUCGCCUGACACUGAUUCCGGGAGGCAAGGUUCUCAAGACAUGAUAGGCACAUCUAGCCAAUCUGAUAACAUGAUUACACUACAAGGCCAAGGUUUUAAUGUAGACUCAUAAGCAUGCUCCACUGGUCCAACUGAUCCAUAAGCAUUCUCCACCGGGGGGAAUGAGACCUACAGACCCAAUCAAAGCAGCUAAACUAUCUUCUUUGUAAUCCAUCAUAUGAAGUUUGCCUUACUGGUGGUAUGAGCAAGCGGAAUGCGAUGGAAAAGAAAAGGGAAGCACAAUCAGAAGGUGAGUAGGCAAUAUCGGAUACAACAAUUGUGGCUGGAGUUCUAAAGGAAGAAAGCACCCAUAGCACAUUCCUUUCUAGCAUGGGUUAUGCAUCAAGAUCCAGGAGAUUUUGGACCUCUACUUAAUUAGCACAGAAUUGAAGUAAGAAUUGAAGAGAAGGAUGGAGAGGCGAGAGAUGCAAGUGAUAGGCACCGAGAGGAGUUAGCCGCGAGGCUUCAAGCACAAGUGACAACAUUUGAAGAGAUGCAGAGGAAACAAUAGGAAAAAUUGGAAGCUGUGAAGAAGAGCCUUCAAGAGAAGAAUGAAGCCUAGCAAAAGAAGCAACAGGAGACGGAUAACCUAAUUGGUUUUCUCUUAGAGGCUCAAGCAACUUAGCUGUCGAGUCCAAAACCGAUGGUGCAUGAAGGCCAUCCUUUUGUGAUGGAAAGAUAGUUGUUGAAUCAUAUGUUCUAGUCACCAGGACAACACAUGUGGUCUUUAGCUAUUUAAAUGUUGCCUUUUUAACUCGUGAGCGAGUGUUACUUUUUGAUGUCACUUUUGUUUAGGGGAUGAUUUGGCUGAGACGAUUGAUUAUAUGAUAUGAUUUGUCGUUCAUUCAAAUUUAUCAUGUGAUUCA
This is a long non-coding RNA of Triticum dicoccoides, 1521 nucleotides long. RefSeq lists it as uncharacterized. The record is from RefSeq and is a predicted model, not a curated record. The transcript is spliced from 6 exons. NCBI's taxonomy places the organism in Eukaryota, Viridiplantae, Streptophyta, Magnoliopsida, Poales, Poaceae.